Molecule: ribosomal RNA, 318 nt
Filed under: Leptographium lundbergii
Lineage: Eukaryota; Fungi; Ascomycota; Sordariomycetes; Ophiostomatales; Ophiostomataceae
Description: LSU rRNA
Rfam family: Eukaryotic large subunit ribosomal RNA
Source: RNAcentral
CAAUAAGCGCAGUAAAAGAAACCGACAGGAAUUGCCCCAGUAUCGUCUAGUGAAGCGGCAACAGCUCAUAUUUGGAAUCUGGCCCCCAGGGCCCGAGUUGUAAUCUGGAGAGGAUGCUUCUGGCGCGGCGCCUUCCGAGUUCCCUGCAACGGGACGCCGGAGAGGGUGAGAGCCCCGUACGGUUGGACGCCUAGCCUUUGUGAAGCUCCUUCGACGAGUCGAGUAGUUUGGGAAUGCUGCUCAAAAUGGGAGGUAAAUUUCUUCUAAAGCUAAAUACCGGCCAGAGACCGAUAGCGCACAAGUAGAGUGAUCGAAAGA